RNAcentral lists this ribosomal RNA (482 nucleotides) under uncultured bacterium. RNAcentral describes it as "partial 16S ribosomal RNA". It matches the Rfam family "Bacterial small subunit ribosomal RNA", at positions 29 to 506 of the family's 1533-position model. The record is from RNAcentral.
UUGAACGCUGGCGGAAUGCUUUACACAUGCAAGUCGAGCGGCAGCGCGGGGCAACCUGGCGGCGAGCGGCGAACGGGUGAGUAACAUAUCGGAACGUACCCUAUCGUGGGGGAUAACACAUCGAAAGAUGUGCUAAUACCGCAUACGACCUGAGGGUGAAAGCGGGGGAUUCGUAAGAACCUCACGCAAUUAGAGCGGCCGAUGUCGGAUUAGCUAGUUGGUGGGGUAAAGGCUCACCAAGGCGACGAUCCGUAGCGGGUCUGAGAGGAUGAUCCGCCACACUGGGACUGAGACACGGCCCAGACUCCUACGGGAGGCAGCAGUGGGGAAUUUUGGACAAUGGGCGAAAGCCUGAUCCAGCCAUGCCGCGUGAGUGAAGUAGGCCUUCGGGUUGUAAAGCUCUUUCAGCCGGAAAGAAAUCGCGCAGGCUAAUACUCUGCGUGGAUGACGGUACCGGAAGAAGAAGCACCGGCUAACUACGU